CGUGUAGGCGGUUGGUCAAGUCUGGUGUGAAAGCCCGGGGCUCAGCUCCGGAAGGGCAUCGGAAACUAGCCAGCUGGAGCGCGAUAGAGGAGGGCGGAAUUCCUGGUGUAGCGGUGAAAUGCGUAGAUAUCAGGAGGAACACCGGCGGCGAAGGCGGCCCUCUGGAUCGUUGCUGACGCUGAGACGCGAAAGCGUGGGGGGCAAACAGGAUUAGAUACCCUGGUAGUCCACGCUGUAAACUAUGGGUACUAGGUGUUCGGGGUAUUGACCCCCUGAGUGCCGCAGCUAACGCAUUAAGUACCCCGCCUGGGGACUACGGCCGCAAGGUUAAA
Molecule: ribosomal RNA, 332 nt
Filed under: uncultured bacterium
Lineage: Bacteria
Description: bacterial SSU rRNA
Rfam family: Bacterial small subunit ribosomal RNA
Source: RNAcentral